This 247-nucleotide unclassified non-coding RNA is filed under the name uncultured fungus. RNAcentral's name for it is "partial contains 5.8S ribosomal RNA, internal transcribed spacer 2, and large subunit ribosomal RNA". The stretch from base 1 to 52 matches the Rfam family "5.8S ribosomal RNA", at positions 103 to 154 of the family's 154-position model. The record is from RNAcentral. Lineage: Eukaryota; Fungi.
AACGCACAUUGCGCCCCCUGGUAUUCCGGGGGGCAUGCCUGUUCGAGCGUCAUUUCACCCCUCAAGCCUGGCUUGGUGUUGGGGCACCGCCUGUAAAAGGGCGGGCCCUCAAAUCCAGCGGCGAGCCCUGUAGGCAGACCGAGCGUAGUAGUUCUCUCUCGCUCUGGGAAGUCCUAAGGGAACAGCCGUUAAACCCCAACUUCUGAAAUUUGACCUCGGAUCAGGUAGGAAUACCCGCUGAACUUAA